RNAcentral lists this ribosomal RNA (297 nucleotides) under Triticum aestivum (bread wheat). RNAcentral's name for it is "partial small subunit ribosomal RNA". Lineage: Eukaryota; Viridiplantae; Streptophyta; Magnoliopsida; Poales; Poaceae. The record is from RNAcentral.
AUGUGGAAUGAUGAACUCAAUGUGUCUGUUCAUAGUGCCUCCUUUCAUUAUAUUUUAGCUAAUGUAGUUCAUCUAGCCUCGGGUGUUCACUUUUGUUUGAUUUGUAUAUAUGGUGACCCCUACCAUAGGCAGACUAGUGCUAUUUGGAGUCAAGUUUCUGCUUUUGUGUAUGAUAACUUGGGUAAGCCCAUGAUGUGUAUUGGAGACCUUAAUGACAUCUUGUAUGAUACAGAUGGUUGUAAUGGUAGUGUUAAUUAUUAUCGCAUGUCUGCUUUUCGUUCCCUUGUUAAAAAUUAA